Molecule: ribosomal RNA, 442 nt
Filed under: uncultured bacterium
Lineage: Bacteria
Description: partial 16S ribosomal RNA
Rfam family: Bacterial small subunit ribosomal RNA
Source: RNAcentral
CCUACGGGGGGCAGCAGUGGGGGAUAUUGCACAAUGGGGGAAACCCUGAUGCAGCGACGCCGCGUGGGAGAAGCAGUAUUUCGGUAUGUAAAGCCCUAUCAGCAGGGAAGAAGAAAUGACGGUACCUGAGUAAGAAGCACCGGCUAACUACGGGCCAGCCGCCGCGGUAAUACGUAUGGUGCAAGUGUUAUCCGGAUUUACUGGGUGUAAAGGGAGCGCAGGCGGCACGGCAAGCCUGAUGUGAAAGCCCGGGGCCCAACCGCGGGACUGCAUUGGGAACUACCGGGCUGGAGUGCCGGAGAGGUAGGCGGAAUUCCUAGUGUAGCGGUGAAAUGCGUAGAUAUUAGGAGGAACACCAGUGGCGAAGGCGGCCUACUGGACGGUGACUGACGCUGAGGCUCGAAAGCGUGGGGAGCAAACAGGAUUAGAUACCCCAGUAGUC